Molecule: non-coding RNA, 612 nt
Organism: Rattus norvegicus (Norway rat)
Lineage: Eukaryota; Metazoa; Chordata; Mammalia; Rodentia; Muridae
Source: RefSeq, a predicted model, not a curated record
AUUGGAACCAGACUGAAGAAAGUGCGGCAAGGUAGAGGUCUCAGAAGGAAAGAAAUUGAUGUUGAAUUUAAAUUUAGCUAUUUAAGAGAAAUGUCCUUAAACAUGAGAUUUGAAGCAAAAGACUGAAUUGUGCUUUCAGGACCCUAUGGAAUGCCCUCCCUGUUGGUGUUAAUGAUUCCAUGAUAACCAGACAGCACAAGCUUGGAAGAGGAAGGUGUGGCUAAUAUCUCUGUAGAAUGGUAAAUACUGGGACCGUCAAGACAGCCUUUAAGGCUAUGUAGAAAAAAAAAAAACCUCUAAAAACAUUGGUUUAAAAUAUAUAAUUUUUCAAAAUAUUGGGAUGCAAUAUGAAUUAUACGAGGGGCUCCACGAAUCUAAAGGAAUAAAAGUAGCUGUACGGUGAGCCAUCUUGUUAGAAAGAUACAAAGGAGAUGAGGAGAUUUAGGGAGUGGCGACUGCAGGAGAUCCCACCUAGCUAAACUUGUUUGUUUACACAUACAGAGGCAGACAGAUUACUGAGUUCCCGGUAGGCCCAGCUCAGAGCAAGGUUAGGCUUGGGCAUACAGUAGAAAUGGUAAUUUCAGGGUGGUGUCUCGCCCAGCUAGCUACUGU